GAUGAACGCUAGCGGCAGGCUUAAUACAUGCAAGUCAAGGGGGUAGCAAUACAACCGGCGCACGGGUGAGUAACGCGUACACAACAUACCAUAUACUGGGGUAUAGCUUUGGGAAACUGAAGGUAAUCCCCCAUAACAUUGCGAGAGGGCAUCUGAUUGCAAUUAAAGUUUCGGCGGUAUAUGAUUGGUGUGCGUUUGAUUAGCUAGUUGGUAGGGUAACGGCCUACCAAGGCGACGAUCAAUAGCUGGCGUGAGAGCGCGACCAGCCACACUGGAACUGAGACACGGUCCAGACUCCUACGGGAGGCAGCGGUAGGGAAUAUUGGACAAUGGGCGCAAGCCUGAUCCAGCCAUGCCGCGUGAUAGAUGAAGGCCCUCUGGGUUGUAAAUAUCUUUUAUCUGGGAAGAAACUCCUCUAUUCUUAGAGGCCUGACGGUACCAGAGGAAUAAGCACCGGCUAACUCCGUGCCAGCAGCCGCGGUAA
RNAcentral lists this ribosomal RNA (484 nucleotides) under uncultured bacterium. Its description in RNAcentral is "bacterial SSU rRNA". It matches the Rfam family "Bacterial small subunit ribosomal RNA", at positions 28 to 523 of the family's 1533-position model. The record is from RNAcentral.